Molecule: RNase P RNA, 255 nt
Filed under: Dorea sp.
Lineage: Bacteria; Bacillati; Bacillota; Clostridia; Lachnospirales; Lachnospiraceae
Description: partial RNase P RNA component class A
Rfam family: Bacterial RNase P class A
About the family: Ribonuclease P (RNase P) is a ubiquitous endoribonuclease, found in archaea, bacteria and eukarya as well as chloroplasts and mitochondria. Its best characterised activity is the generation of mature 5'-ends of tRNAs by cleaving the 5'-leader elements of precursor-tRNAs.
Source: RNAcentral
CAAGUAAGACAGGUAAUCGCGGCUGCUGAUUCCGAAAGGAUGCAGGUGAGGAAAGUCCGGGCUUCACAGGGCAGGAUGCCGGAUAACGUCCGGUGGAGGCGACUUCAAGGAUAGUGCAACAGAAAUGAACCGCCAUGUACGGGCGCAGCCUGUAUGUGGUAAGGGUGGAAGGGCAGUGUAAGAGACUACCGCCCUGCUGGUAACAGCGGGGGCAUAUGUAAACCCCAUCCGAAGCAAGACCGGAUAAAGACAAUG